AGUGAACGCUGGCGGUGGGCCUAACACAUGCAAGUCGAACGGCAGCACAGUAAGAGCUUGCUCUUACGGGUGGCGAGUGGCGGACGGGUGAGGAAUACAUCGGAAUCUACUUUUUCGUGGGGGAUAACGUAGGGAAACUUACGCUAAUACCGCAUACGACCUACGGGUGAAAGCAGGGGAUCUUCGGACCUUGCGCGAUUGAAUGAGCCGAUGUCGGAUUAGCUAGUUGGCGGGGUAAAGGCCCACCAAGGCGACGAUCCGCAGCUGGUCUGAGAGGAUGAUCAGCCACACUGGAACUGAGACACGGUCCAGACUCCUACGGGAGGCAGCAGUGGGGAAUAUUGGACAAUGGGCGCAAGCCUGAUCCAGCCAUACCGCGUGGGUGAAGAAGGCCUUCGGGUUGUAAAGCCCUUUUGUUGGGAAAGAAAAGCAGCAGGUUAAUACCCCGCUGUUCUGACGGUACCCAAAGAAUAAGCACCGGCUAACUUCGUG
This 492-nucleotide ribosomal RNA is filed under the name uncultured bacterium. RNAcentral describes it as "partial 16S ribosomal RNA". It matches the Rfam family "Bacterial small subunit ribosomal RNA", at positions 29 to 507 of the family's 1533-position model. The record is from RNAcentral.